UCCCUGGGAGCCAGCUCUGAACAAUACUGAGACACAGGGCGCACAUCUGCAUCCAGGAGCCUCCAUCUUCUAGACUCCGGCAGCCCCCCGCUUUAUUCGGAUUGUCAGAAGCAUGCAGCGGCUCUAGAUCGCACUGCAACCCGCACGGGAAGCUCUUCUCUCGGAUGCUUUACAUUUUCAUCUUGGAAAUGCACAAGAUUAUGUCUGUUUCUGUCUUCCUGGUUCCUGUGCUGUGGGGGCUGAUCACUGGAGUCUAUUCCAACGGCAUACAAAUAGGAGGGUUGUUUCCAAGGGGUGCAGAUCAGGAAUACAGUGCAUUUCGGGUAGGGAUGGUUAUCUUUUCCACUUCAGAGUUUAGGCUGACGCCCCAUAUCGACAAUCUGGAGGUAGCUAACAGCUUCGCUGUAACCAAUGCUUUCUGCUCCCAGUUUUCAAGAGGAGUCUUUGCUAUUUUUGGAUUUUAUGAUAAGAAGUCUGUAAAUACUAUCACAUCAUUUUGCGGAACUCUUCAUGUCUCCUUCAUAACCCCAAGCUUUCCAACAGAUGGUACUCAUCCAUUUGUUAUUCAAAUGAGGCCGGACCUCAAAGGAGCGCUUCUUAGUUUGAUUGAAUACUAUCAAUGGGAUAAAUUUGCAUAUCUUUAUGACAGUGAUAGAGGUUUAUCAACACUGCAAGCUGUGCUGGAUUCUGCAGCUGAGAAGAAAUGGCAAGUGACAGCAAUCAAUGUAGGCAACAUUAACAAUGACAGGAAAGAUGAAACGUACCGAUCCCUCUUCCAGGAUCUGGAAUUAAAAAAGGAAAGACGGGUGAUUCUUGACUGUGAGAGGGACAAAGUAAACGACAUUGUGGAUCAGGUAAUCACCAUUGGUAAACAUGUUAAAGGAUACCAUUAUAUCAUAGCAAAUCUGGGCUUUACAGAUGGAGAUUUAUCAAAAAUACAGUUCGGAGGGGCCAAUGUAUCAGGAUUUCAGAUUGUCGAUUAUGAUGACCCUGGAGUUGCCAAAUUCAUACAGCGCUGGUCAACACUAGAGGAAAAGGAAUAUCCUGGUGCACACACGUCAACUAUUAAGUAUACUUCGGCUCUGACUUUUGAUGCUGUCCAAGUGAUGACUGAGGCCUUUCGAACUUUAAGGAAACAGAGAAUUGAACUCUCUAGGAGAGGAAAUGCUGGUGACUGUUUAGCAAAUCCUGCUGUACCGUGGGGUCAUGGAGUUGAAAUAGAGAGAGCACUCAAACAGGUCCAAGUGGAUGGUUUGACUGGAAAUAUAAAAUUUGAUCAGAAUGGUAAAAGAGUGAAUUAUACAAUCAACAUAAUGGAACUCAAGAGCAAUGGACCUCGGAAGAUUGGCUACUGGAGUGAAAUUGACAAGAUGGUGGUUACUGUUAGUGAUGUAUUAUCUGCAAACGACUCCAUGGGUUUGGAAAACAAAACUGUUAUUGUCACGACUAUUUUGGAAGCUCCAUAUGUCAUGCAUAAGAAAAAUUCUGAUCAGUUUGAGGGAAAUGAUCGAUAUGAAGGAUACUGUGUUGAUUUGGCGACGGAAAUUGCCAGACACUGUGGAUUUAAAUACAAACUGACAAUAGUUGGUGAUGGAAAGUAUGGGGCAAGAGACGCUGAAACAAAAAUAUGGAAUGGCAUGGUCGGUGAAUUAGUCUAUGGGAAAGCGGAUAUUGCUAUUGCUCCAUUAACUAUAACACUGGUGAGAGAAGAAGUGAUUGACUUCUCUAAACCAUUCAUGAGUUUGGGAAUAUCAAUUAUGAUCAAGAAGCCUCAGAAGUCAAAACCAGGAGUGUUUUCUUUUCUUGAUCCUUUAGCCUAUGAGAUCUGGAUGUGCAUAGUGUUUGCAUAUAUUGGGGUCAGUGUAGUUUUAUUCCUGGUGAGCAGAUUUAGCCCAUAUGAAUGGCAUACUGAGGAGUUUGAAGACGGAAGAGAAACGCAAAGUAACGAUUCAUCUAAUGAGUUUGGGAUAUUUAAUAGUCUCUGGUUUUCCCUUGGUGCCUUUAUGCAGCAAGGAUGCGAUAUUUCGCCAAGAUCCCUAUCUGGUCGCAUUGUUGGAGGUGUGUGGUGGUUCUUUACCUUGAUUAUCAUUUCAUCCUACACGGCUAACUUAGCUGCCUUCCUUACCGUGGAACGGAUGGUGUCACCUAUAGAAAGUGCAGAAGAUCUUUCUAAACAAACUGAAAUAGCAUAUGGAACAUUGGAUUCAGGGUCAACAAAGGAAUUCUUUAGGAGAUCCAAAAUUGCUGUUUUUGAUAAAAUGUGGACAUAUAUGAAAAGUGCAGAGCCAUCUGUCUUUGUGAAGACCACAGCAGAAGGUGUAGCCCGGGUACGGAAGUCCAAAGGAAAAUAUGCCUACUUGCUGGAGUCCACCAUGAAUGAAUACAUCGAGCAAAGAAAACCGUGCGACACCAUGAAAGUUGGAGGAAAUUUGGAUUCAAAAGGCUACGGGAUCGCAACACCAAAACAAUCCCCAUUAAGAAAUGCGGUUAACCUCGCAGUACUAAAACUGAAUGAACAAGGCCUGUUGGACAAAUUGAAAAACAAAUGGUGGUACGACAAAGGAGAGUGCGGCAGCGGGGGAGGUGAUUCCAAGGAAAAGACAAGUGCGCUCAGUCUGAGCAAUGUGGCUGGAGUAUUCUACAUCCUCGUGGGAGGACUUGGCUUGGCAAUGCUGGUGGCUUUGAUUGAGUUCUGCUACAAGUCAAGAGCUGAGGCGAAACGAAUGAAGGUGGCAAAGAAUGCACAGAACACUAACCCAGCUUCCUCGCAGAAUUCACAGAAUUUUGCAACUUAUAAGGAAGGUUACAACGUAUAUGGAAUCGAAAGUGUAAAAAUUUAGGGGGUAGGAUUGAGGUUCUUAUACAACUAUUAAGUGCACGCUUGACUUCAUCCUUGUGCCUUUUAGCUGUCAUCUGGUGGCACCGGGUACUAACCAUAGUCAUAUCAACAAAUUUUGUACUAUCAUUCAUUGUAUUUUUGUGGUCAGUUCAAACUGUGGACACCAUGAUGGUUUAAGGAUCACUGGGGUAUAUUUACAAGAGUUUCUAGGGCUAUUAAUAUGAAUCUAGGAAAUUAACACCUUCCAAACUUACACAAGUACUGUAUGUGAAUCCUUUAUCCGUAAUCAUCUAGCAUAAAAGGAUCAUUCACAAUUUUCGCAUUAGACAUAUUCUAAAGUGUCACUAAAUAAAGGACAUCACAGGUCAAUUUCACAGGUCCAUACUUUAUUAUGAGUCUUGAAAUUAUUAAAUUGCAUUUCACGAUUGUAAUAUCCAAUCCUUACAAUGGGCCAUAAAUACCUGACCAGCAGGUUUGAGGGGUGUCGAACCCGAGUAGCCACAGUGCUGCAAGUUGGUGCCAGAACUACACAGUUCCAUCCACUGUUUAGUGGAUGGAGCUGAAUACUGAAGUGUUGCUCCCAUUCACUUAAUGUAAGCAGCAGGGUAGGGCUAUCAGUUUUAAAAUACCAAUAUACGCUUUUAGCUUCUAAAUCUUGCUAUAGUUCUUUUUUCUAUCUUCCCAUUUAAUUUGGUAUUUCAAUGAACUAAUAAUUAGAAUAAGUGUUAAAAUAUUUUUCCAGGAUUUUGGCAAUUCAUUCAUAAUUUUAGUGUCAGACUGGAAUAAUAGAGGAUAGCACAGCAUAUACUCAUAUUAAAAGAUGCUCCAGAAUUGUUAUUACAUAGAAAAUGCAAGUAAUGCAAGUAGUUACUAAAACAGACAUGUCAGGAGAGGUGACAGGUCCUCUUUACGACCCAGCAGGAUAUAUGCAUAUAAAGACCCUAUAGACUUACACUGCACAAGACUCUAGGGAAAUGACAAGGGCCAUGUGUAAAAUUAGCUACUAAAGUUACUGUAGAUAAGAUGUGCCCAGUUAGAUUGGUUUGAAAGGUAAAAGUGUCUUGGGAGCACAUUAUUUAAACCAAUUAUUACAUGAUGUGACCAUUCUGAGUGGUUAAAGGCAUGGGAUUGAUUUAAAUAGUUCCCUAUUAACCUGUACAAUACUGCAAUUAAUAUUCUCAGUUUUGCAUACCAAGCCUAUAGGGAUUUUAUUUUUCUUUAGCAGAUUUGUAUUCAACAAUUUUAACUGCAAUUUACAGGACCAUAAAAUACCUUCAAUGUAAAAUAAAAUUAAAGUACAGUGAAAUCAAUUUGAGAGGAAAAUUGGUGUUUUAGGGGGGUGGUCUUCUCAAUGCUGGCUAACUUAUAUAAUAUAUAGUAAAACUGGAUCUGUUGUGAGUAAGGGGGUGGUCUUCUCAAAUAGGUGGCCUUUUCGAGAGGCGUUAUUGUACUGUGUAUGUUCAGAAAUGUUUGUUACAUUAAACCCAACAAUCAGAUUACAACCUCUAAAUAGUAAUGAAUACUAACACUUUUAAGGGGGUACUCCAGGAGGUAAAAGUUAUCCCCUAAUACAGGAAAAGAGAUUACUAUCAGAUCGGUCGGGUUCCUACCGCUCGGACUCCCACUGAUCACGAGAGUGGGAGCCCAGUAUCCCCUGAGGCCCACCUGAAAUGAUCGGAGCCGCCGGUAGCACAUGUGUGCGGCCACUCCAUUCAUUUCUAUGGAAGUUCUGGAGGUAGCUGAGUAUCACGCAACUGCAUUUGCCAGUGUGCUUUGCCUCUGCAGCAUGAAAGAAAAGUACUGCAAACAAAAUAUAUUGAAAUUACAUUGUGUCAUAGAUGAAAAAAUAUCAGAAUGCUCAAUGUAGGAAUUAAUGAACGUAUAUGCAUUCAUUUUUAUGGAGGUGCACUUUUAUCUGUCAAAAAACAAACAAACUGUGUUGUGCAUAGAGGGGAGCAGAUAACAAUGCUUCGUUCUUGAGUGGUGUGCUGGGCUUAUGUCACAGUACAAAGAAAAACUGGAAAUCAUGUGUUUACAAAGCACACUAUAGCCCACAUUUAUUUGUAUGUUUUUGCUGGCACAUUCACCAAGUAUUUGAUCAGAGCCAUUUGUGGCCAGCAUGUAAAUUUAAAAGUAGAAUGAAUAAGUGGUCAUGGCUUUCUGCUUGGCCAGGAUUUAGACAUAUUUAUGUAUAAAGUUGUAAGACUCUUCUCUAGACUUGUAUUUAAGGAUGUGACAGAUUGAUCAACAUCAAAUAACAUCUUUAGAAAUUUGUAGCAAAAAAAAAAAUGCUAUGUAAGAUUGAUUUCCCUGUGUGAUUAAUUGGCACAGGAAUGGUCAGCAUAAGAACAUGAUGAUAUAAAUUGGAGGACGGUGUUAUGUCAUCUAGACAGCUGUAGAAAUAUGAGGCUAACUGGAGAUCACAGGCUAAUCUGCUAAUGGGCCAUGUUAAACAAAGGGAAUAUUGUUGGAAUUCUCAUACAAUCAUUUGAUUUGUUGAAUUUAUUGUUGCAUAUGCUAAAUGCUCUAGGGGUGAGCAAACAAUGAUCUCAACAACCACCAAACAGAGAAAUAUUUAGGGAUUACUGUUUUAUGUAAUUGAAUGCCUUCUGAAUGCAAAAAACAUGCAAGGUUCCAGUUCACACUUUUAAUGCUGCUAAAGAACCACUGGCUUAUCCAGUGAAUUGUGUCAUUUGAAGCUAUAGGCGAAUCUGAAAAUGUAAUUUUUUCAUAUCAUAUUAUUCACAUAGAUUUCUCAUUGAAUCAAUCUUUUGUUAUCUUUUUAGUUUAUUAUAUCAAAUACCUCAGUGUGGAUACUUAAUGCGUGAACUAUAUCGUUCAGUGAUGUCAUGAGGAACAAGGCAAGGCUGUCAAUUACAGGAAGUGCUGGGGAAAAUGGACGUGUUCUAACACCAGAAUUUCCAAAAGCAGUGCAUGCAGUGAGUCCUGGCAUGAGAAUGA
Molecule: RNA transcript, 5800 nt
Organism: Bufo gargarizans (Asiatic toad)
Lineage: Eukaryota; Metazoa; Chordata; Amphibia; Anura; Bufonidae
Gene: GRIA2
Gene name: glutamate ionotropic receptor AMPA type subunit 2
Exons: 16
Source: RefSeq, a predicted model, not a curated record